CACACUUCCCAGUUGUUGGUUAAGAUGAAGUGCAUUAGCUUUUCUUAUCACUUUAAUAUCUGAUAUAUCCUCAGCUUCAAGAUUUAAUAUUAAAUGGAUUUAGAGGUCACGGGAAGGAAUAAUCGCUUCCUCCAUCCACUCCCGAAACUGCAUCAACCUGAAAUUGCAGUGCUUUCAGGUACUGUGGCCAUAUUU
Molecule: non-coding RNA, 195 nt
Organism: Colius striatus (speckled mousebird)
Lineage: Eukaryota; Metazoa; Chordata; Aves; Coliiformes; Coliidae
Source: Rfam